RNAcentral lists this ribosomal RNA (403 nucleotides) under uncultured Eubacteriales bacterium. Its description in RNAcentral is "bacterial SSU rRNA". It matches the Rfam family "Bacterial small subunit ribosomal RNA", at positions 356 to 774 of the family's 1533-position model. The record is from RNAcentral. Lineage: Bacteria; Bacillati; Bacillota; Clostridia; Eubacteriales.
GGGGAAUAUUGCGCAAUGGGGGAAACCCUGACGCAGCAAUACCGCGUGAGUGAAGAAGGUUUUCGGAUCGUAAAGCUCUGUUAUUGGGGAAGAAAAAAAGACGGUACCCAAGAAGAAAGUCCCGGCUAACUACGUGCCAGCAGCCGCGGUAAUACGUAGGUGGCGAGCGUUGUCCGGAAUUACUGGGCGUAAAGGGUGUGCAGGCGGAUAUUUAAGUGAGAUGUGAAAGACCCGGGCUUAACCCGGGCAGUGCAUCUAAUACUGGGAGGCUAGAGUGCAGGAGAGGGAAGCGGAAUUCCUAGUGUAGCGGUGAAAUGCGUAGAUAUUAGGAGGAACACCAGUGGCGAAGGCGGCUUUCUGGACUGUAACUGACACUGAGGCACGAAAGCGUGGGGGGCAAACA